Molecule: ribosomal RNA, 485 nt
Filed under: uncultured bacterium
Lineage: Bacteria
Description: partial 16S ribosomal RNA
Rfam family: Bacterial small subunit ribosomal RNA
Source: RNAcentral
AUUGAACGCUGGCGGCAGGCUUAACACAUGCAAGUCGAGCGGGGAAAGGUAGCUUGCUACCUGACCUAGCGGCGGACGGGUGAGUAAUGCUUAGGAAUCUGCCUAUUAGUGGGGGACAACAUCUCGAAAGGGAUGCUAAUACCGCAUACGUCCUACGGGAGAAAGCAGGGGACCUUCGGGCCUUGCGCUAAUAGAUGAGCCUAAGUCGGAUUAGCUAGUUGGUGGGGUAAAGGCCUACCAAGGCGACGAUCUGUAGCGGGUCUGAGAGGAUGAUCCGCCACACUGGGACUGAGACACGGCCCAGACUUCUACGGGAGGCAGCAGUGGGGAAUAUUGGACAAUGGGGGGAACCCUGAUCCAGCCAUGCCGCGUGUGUGAAGAAGGCCUUUUGGUUGUAAAGCACUUUAAGCGAGGAGGAGGCUACCGAGAUUAAUACUCUUGGAUAGUGGACGUUACUCGCAGAAUAAGCACCGGCUAACUCUGUG